RNAcentral lists this ribosomal RNA (1237 nucleotides) under Klebsiella pneumoniae. Its description in RNAcentral is "partial 23S ribosomal RNA". It matches the Rfam family "Bacterial large subunit ribosomal RNA", at positions 307 to 1555 of the family's 2925-position model. The record is from RNAcentral. Lineage: Bacteria; Pseudomonadati; Pseudomonadota; Gammaproteobacteria; Enterobacterales; Enterobacteriaceae.
AGUCUGAAUCAGCUUGUGUGUUAGUGGAACGGUCUGGAAAGUCCGACGGUACAGGGUGAUAGUCCCGUACACCAAAAUGCACAGGCUGUGAACUCGAAGAGUAGGGCGGGACACGUGGUAUCCUGUCUGAAUAUGGGGGGACCAUCCUCCAAGGCUAAAUACUCCUGACUGACCGAUAGUGAACCAGUACCGUGAGGGAAAGGCGAAAAGAACCCCGGCGAGGGGAGUGAAAAAGAACCUGAAACCGUGUACGUACAAGCAGUGGGAGCACCUUCGGGUGUGACUGCGUACCUUUUGUAUAAUGGGUCAGCGACUUAUAUUCUGUAGCAAGGUUAACCGUAUAGGGGAGCCGCAGGGAAACCGAGUCUUAACUGGGCGUUAAGUUGCAGGGUAUAGACCCGAAACCCGGUGAUCUAGCCAUGGGCAGGUUGAAGGUUGGGUAACACUAACUGGAGGACCGAACCGACUAAUGUUGAAAAAUUAGCGGAUGACUUGUGGCUGGGGGUGAAAGGCCAAUCAAACCGGGAGAUAGCUGGUUCUCCCCGAAAGCUAUUUAGGUAGCGCCUCGUGAACUCAUCUUCGGGGGUAGAGCACUGUUUCGGCUAGGGGGUCAUCCCGACUUACCAACCCGAUGCAAACUACGAAUACCGAAGAAUGUUAUCACGGGAGACACACGGCGGGUGCUAACGUCCGUCGUGAAGAGGGAAACAACCCAGACCGCCAGCUAAGGUCCCAAAGUCAUGGUUAAGUGGGAAACGAUGUGGGAAGGCACAGACAGCCAGGAUGUUGGCUUAGAAGCAGCCAUCAUUUAAAGAAAGCGUAAUAGCUCACUGGUCGAGUCGGCCUGCGCGGAAGAUGUAACGGGGCUAAACCAUGCACCGAAGCUGCGGCAGCGACACUAUGUGUUGUUGGGUAGGGGAGCGUUCUGUAAGCCUGCGAAGGUGACCUGUGAGGGUUGCUGGAGGUAUCAGAAGUGCGAAUGCUGACAUAAGUAACGAUAAAGCGGGUGAAAAGCCCGCUCGCCGGAAGACCAAGGGUUCCUGUCCAACGUUAAUCGGGGCAGGGUGAGUCGACCCCUAAGGCGAGGCCGAAAGGCGUAGUCGAUGGGAAACAGGUUAAUAUUCCUGUACUUGGUGUUACUGCGAAGGGGGGACGGAGAAGGCUAUGUUAGCCGGGCGACGGUUGUCCCGGUUUAAGCAUGUAGGCUGGUUAUCCAGGCAAAUCCGGAUAAUCAAGG